AAAGUCGUAACAAGGUUUCCGUAGGUGAACCUGCGGAAGGAUCAUUACAAAGAAAACACCAGGUUUGGGUUUAGAAAGUAGGAAGUUCUUCUUCCAAAAUUGAUGCCCAUUCUUGGUUUACUUUUUGUAUGAACUUUUAUUGUGAAAUGUGUCCUGUCUCUGGCAGUUAGGUGUUGGUUUUGGUAUGGUUUAAGCCUACUGCCAUUUGGGUGCUUUAUGCACUUUUUUGUAUGUCCAAGUUUGUCUAAGUUUUGUUGUUUUGAAAAUUUUACUUUACAACUUUUGGCAAUGGAUCUCUUGGCUCUU
RNAcentral lists this unclassified non-coding RNA (306 nucleotides) under Basidiomycota sp. RNAcentral describes it as "partial contains small subunit ribosomal RNA, internal transcribed spacer 1, and 5.8S ribosomal RNA". The stretch from base 1 to 47 matches the Rfam family "Eukaryotic small subunit ribosomal RNA", at positions 1785 to 1831 of the family's 1831-position model. Lineage: Eukaryota; Fungi; Basidiomycota. The record is from RNAcentral.